Molecule: ribosomal RNA, 344 nt
Filed under: uncultured eukaryote
Lineage: Eukaryota
Description: bacterial SSU rRNA
Rfam family: Eukaryotic small subunit ribosomal RNA
Source: RNAcentral
AUAGCGUAUAUUAAAGUUGUUGCAGUUAAAAAGCUCGUAGUUGGAUUUCUGGGAGGGUGCCAAUGUCCGCUUGUUAGCGUGUGCAGCGGCGCCCUUCCAUCCUUCUGUUAACGUUUCUUGGUAUUUGUUUACUGGUUUCGGGCUCAGAUAUUUUACCUUGAGAAAAUUAGAGUGUUCAAAGCAGGCCUAUGCCCGAAUACAUUAGCAUGGAAUAAUAAAAUAGGACGUGCGGUUCUAUUUUGUUGGUUUCUAGAGUCGCCGUAAUGAUUAAUAGGGAUAGUUGGGGGCAUUAGUAUUCAGUUGCUAGAGGUGAAAUUCUUGGAUUUACUGAAGACUAACUACUG